AGCCAACAAGGCCUUUACUGACGCUAAAGCUCGAGGGUGCGGGUAUCGAACAGGAUUAGAUACCCUGGUAGUCCGCACGGUAAACGAUGGAUGCCCGCUGUAUGCGAUAUACUGUGAGCGGCCAAGAGAAAUCGUUAAGCAUCCCACCUGGGGAGUACGCCGGCAACGGUGAAACUCAAAGGAAUUGACGGGGGCCCGCACAAGCGGAGGAACAUGUGGUUUAAUUCGAUGAUACGCGAGGAACCUUACCCGGGCUUGAACUGCAGCAGACGGAUCUAGAGAUAGUGACUCCCUUCGGGGCUGCUGUGGAGGUGCUGCAUGGUUGUCGUCAGCUCGUGCCGUGAGGUGUCGGCUUAAGUGCCAUAACGAGCGCAACCCUUUUCAUUAGUUGCCAUCAGGUAAUGCUGGGCACUCUGGUGAUACUGCCACCGUAAGGUGUGAGGAAGGUGGGGAUGACGUCAAAUCAGCACGGCCCUUACGUCCGGGGCUACACACGUGUUACAAUGGGAGGUACAGAGAGUCGGAUGUACGCAAGUACAUUCUAAUCCUAAAAGCCUUCCUCAGUUCGGAUUGGGGUCUGCAACCCGACCCCAUGAAGCUG
RNAcentral lists this ribosomal RNA (601 nucleotides) under uncultured bacterium. Its description in RNAcentral is "bacterial SSU rRNA". It matches the Rfam family "Bacterial small subunit ribosomal RNA", at positions 723 to 1328 of the family's 1533-position model. The record is from RNAcentral.